GCGUUUUAACCAGCUUCACCGAAUUCAUAUGGCACAACAAUGAUCACAAAAAAAUUAGAUUUUAACGUCUCAUGUGUGCAGCAGUGCGUCAUUUUGAUCGGUUUCAUUAAAGUGAUGAUCAGCUAGUGGGGAUCAGCUAGUUAUACUACGUUAGCUAAAUAGCAUUCUCUGGAACCUGGAGAUUUCUUCACAUCAUAUGACUGUAUCUUCCCACAACUGCUUUUUUCCUGAUACCCCAAGGGUACGACCAUAAAUAAGCAAGGGGAAAGCAGAGAGGGUUACAGACAGACAGGUUGGACCACAGCAUAGAUAGUACCAUGGCAGGGAAUCAAACCCUCAACCGGGCGGGGGAGAGGGGCAACUUGUAAAUGGUCAAGGAAUCGGCUGCCUCACGGACUAUGCCGUACACUUUGCCUGAAAGCCCAACUGUAACACAGGACUUUGACAUCGGAACAUGUCAUAAGAAAGGUUUCAGCCUUUCAGUCUGUGUUGGUUCAGCUGCGUUCAGUUACUCUGAGGUACAAUUACAUUUCCCCACAGGUAAAAAAAAAAAGGUCCAGUUAUGGUGGAUUGUUAUCUUGUUUACUCCUUCUGAGUCGCACGCAGCUGCAGCUGCGGCUGGCAGGAAGUGCUUCCUGAGAAGACUUCCUAUCGGACAAGGGGAAUGGGGUCUUACGGCAUUGCCCCCUCCUGACGGCACAAUUUGUUCUGGCAGUAACCCGCAGCAACAGGACUAGAAUGGCUGAGUCAGCGAGGAGUCUUCAGUUUAAUCAGCUCUUGGUAUUUGUCACCUAAAACAUCUGCCACAGUAAAGAUGAUCAGCAAAG
Molecule: long non-coding RNA, 827 nt
Organism: Anguilla rostrata (American eel)
Lineage: Eukaryota; Metazoa; Chordata; Actinopteri; Anguilliformes; Anguillidae
Exons: 3
Source: RefSeq, a predicted model, not a curated record